Molecule: long non-coding RNA, 279 nt
Filed under: Nicotiana benthamiana
Lineage: Eukaryota; Viridiplantae; Streptophyta; Magnoliopsida; Solanales; Solanaceae
Description: long non-coding RNA (NBEN_LNC025182)
Source: RNAcentral
ACUACUGUAAAUGCUCAUGAUCUUCCCAAUUGCCUGGGCUAAAUAUGCAUCCUCCUCCUCCUCAUUAGUAUCAUCAUCAUUACUAUAACCAUUACCACCACCACUAUUAUCAUAAUUAUUAUCGGUAUCUCCAUCAUAACCAUCACCAUUAUUAUCAUCUGUAUUAUUGACACCUCCAUCAUCACCAUUACCGCCGCUGCCAUAAUAAUCAUCAUUAUUAUUGUUAAAAUUAUAUCGACAAUAAAGAAAAGAAAUAUGAGAAGAAAAGUAAAAAUGAGA